Molecule: ribosomal RNA, 255 nt
Filed under: uncultured bacterium
Lineage: Bacteria
Description: partial 16S ribosomal RNA
Rfam family: Bacterial small subunit ribosomal RNA
Source: RNAcentral
UACGUAGGGUGCGAGCGUUUGUCCGGAAUUACUGGGCGUAAAGAGCUCGUAGGUGGUUUGUCGCGUUUGUCCGUGAAAACUCACAACUCAAUUGUGGGCGUGCGGGCGAUACGGGCAGACUGGAGUACUGCAGGGGAGACUGGAAUUCCUGGUGUAGCGGUGGAAUGCGCAGAUAUCAGGAGGAACACCGGUGGCGAAGGCGGGUCUCUGGGCAGUAACUGACGCUGAGGAGCGAAAGCGUGGGGAGCAAACAGG